RNAcentral lists this microRNA precursor (94 nucleotides) under Nicotiana sylvestris (wood tobacco). Its description in RNAcentral is "MIR6152 microRNA precursor family". It matches the Rfam family "MIR6152 microRNA precursor family". The record is from Rfam by way of RNAcentral. Lineage: Eukaryota; Viridiplantae; Streptophyta; Magnoliopsida; Solanales; Solanaceae. RNAcentral also lists the same sequence under 1 other name.
UGGACAUAUUAUUGUAUUCAACUGUAUUCACAGUGUGAAACAGGGGAUUAUACUGUUUUUAAACGGAAAGUGAAUCAAUUAACAUAUAACUCAA